Molecule: ribosomal RNA, 430 nt
Filed under: Pseudomonadota bacterium
Lineage: Bacteria; Pseudomonadati; Pseudomonadota
Description: Proteobacteria bacterium partial 16S ribosomal RNA
Rfam family: Bacterial small subunit ribosomal RNA
Source: RNAcentral
UGGGGAAUAUUGGACAAUGGGGGGAACCCUGAUCCAGCCAUGCCGCGUGUGUGAAGAAGGCCUUAUGGUUGUAAAGCACUUUAAGCGAGGAGGAGGGUACUGGUAUUAAUACUACCAGGUACUGGACGUUACUCGCAGAAUAAGCACCGGCUAACUCUGUGCCAGCAGCCGCGGUAAUACAGAGGGUGCGAGCGUUAAUCGGAUUUACUGGGCGUAAAGCGUGCGUAGGCGGCUAAUUGAGUCGGAUGUGAAAUCCCCGAGCUUAACUUGGGAAUUGCAUUCGAUACUGGUUAGCUAGAGUGUGGGAGAGGAUGGUAGAAUUCCAGGUGUAGCGGUGAAAUGCGUAGAGAUCUGGAGGAAUACCGAUGGCGAAGGCAGCCAUCUGGCCUAACACUGACGCUGAGGUACGAAAGAAUGGGGAGCAAACAGG